This 1746-nucleotide ribosomal RNA is filed under the name Triticum aestivum (bread wheat). RNAcentral describes it as "partial small subunit ribosomal RNA". Lineage: Eukaryota; Viridiplantae; Streptophyta; Magnoliopsida; Poales; Poaceae. The record is from RNAcentral.
AUGGCGCAGAUGCUUCGCCAGUCGCAGCUCGACGUGGCAAACUCGGUCAUGGAGAGGCUACCCGACAUACUCGAGAGAGUCUUGGGGGAGCAUUUUGGUGCUUUCAAGAGUUCUAUUAUGGGAUGCAUAGAAGAUAAGGUUCAAUCAAUUGUACAGACAAAGAUGCAGGAACAAAAAGCCGCUUCGCUUCCUAGUGCCGUUUAUGAGCCUCCUCCUAGGCAUGUAUCGGAGGGCUUUCCUGAAACUGGAAGCGACACUGGAGUCGUCAAGCUACGCUUUGACGUUGCAGGACCAAAAGAUACACUUUUCACUCGUUGUCCAGUAUGGAAGAAUGGGGCAAAUGCUAAAGUAGCAAUACUUCAAAAUGAGACGCAAAUCACGCAGGGUGAUCUUUCUAAAUUGCAAAUUGAGAUUCUACCUGUUCAUGCUGAUUUCUUUACUGGACAAGAGGAUUUCACCAAAGAUGAAUUCAACAAGCAAAUAUAUAUGUAUAAAGGGAAAGAGUCGGUCUUGGCAACUGUUAGUCUAUCAAACGGCGAGUCCUCUCUUGGUUCAUUCUCCUUUCCAGAGAGCUCCCACGGGAAAAAGUUAAGAUUAACAGCUCGAGUGAAAAGGCAGGAUCUUACUGUCAGAGUUCAGGAAGCAAUAACUGAUCCUUUUGUCGUCAAAGACCGCCGAAGUGAAUCAAAUGAGAAGAGUCCUAUUCCAUCCAAGGAAGACGCUAUACAUCAACUGAAGAAAAUUUGCUUAAAGGGAAAACAUUGGAAUAACCUUGUGGAGAAAAAUAUUACGAAAGUGAAGCACUUGUUGCGCCAUUAUCAUAAAGAUAAUUUCGGUCUCCAAAAGCUUGCUGGCAUGAAGAAGGGGGAUUGGAAUACCAUGAUUGAACAUGCUACCAUGUGUGUUCCUGGGGAUGAGAUCUAUUCCUAUUUGGUUCCAGAGGAUAAUUGUCAAAUCUUAUUCAAUGAUUUCUAUGAUCUUGUCGGUAAGAUGACUGAUAACUAUGUUCCUUACAGUGUCAAUGACGCCGAUCAGUUUCCACAGCAUAAAGUGAAGAACUGGAAAAUGUCUGCAUACAAGAAAUUUGAGGAGCUGGAGAACUCAGGGGGUCUUAUCCCUGAUUAUUUCCUGAGUAACGGCCACCUUGUCCCAGCAGCGCCUCCCAACAAUGGUGCCAGUACUUCCAAAAAUCAAACUACUGCAGAAUUUGGUGAGCAACAACCAUUUCUGCAGGAGAGUGGAUUCCCACUGGCACAGAUCUUUGCAAAAAAUGUUGCUGCUCCUUCGAAUCAAGAAGGACCACCAUUUACACAGUGCAGUUACGAACAGGUUGCACAUCAAGAACUAUAUCAGCAGGAUCCUUCUAUACUGUGUAAUGGAAUUCCUCCCUAUUUGACCCAUGGAAACAUCAAUGGUCAGGGAUCAUUCUCAGCCUGGUCAAUCAGCCCAUCCCACAAUUUUGCACCAGCUGAAGAGGAGAAUUCAAUGACUCGUGCAAAUCUAACUGCCCAACACAAUGGAUACUCAAGCUCCUUGAUGACUGCUGCUCCUGGUGGAGUUAGUCAGGGAACCUCUUCACUUAACCAUGAUCAAGCUGGCAUCAGCGGAUUAUAUCCAAUUGAAGAAUGGCUAGGAGUAGAAGAAGCACAUGUGGCAGAUCAGGACUUUAUACCAGCUGACAACGCAGAACUGCCGAAUUCUAACAACCAAUCUGAUGGUUAUGAAUAUGCUGGUGGCAACUGGUGA